Molecule: ribosomal RNA, 253 nt
Filed under: uncultured bacterium
Lineage: Bacteria
Description: partial 16S ribosomal RNA
Rfam family: Bacterial small subunit ribosomal RNA
Source: RNAcentral
UACGAGGGGGGCAAGCGUUGUUCGGAAUUAUUGGGCGUAAAGGGUGCGUAGGCUGUGCGGUAAGUCACCUGUGAAAUCUCCGAGCUCAACUCGGAGCCUGCAGGCGAAACUGCCGUGCUGGAGUAUGGGAGAGGUGCGUGGAAUUCCCGGUGUAGCGGUGAAAUGCGUAGAUAUCUGCAGGAACACCCGUGGCGAAGGCGGCUGGCUGGACCGCAACUGACGCUGAGGAACGAAAGCUAGGGGAGCAAACAGG